Molecule: transfer RNA, 74 nt
Filed under: Streptomyces sp. MBT53
Lineage: Bacteria; Bacillati; Actinomycetota; Actinomycetes; Kitasatosporales; Streptomycetaceae
Description: tRNA-Val
Rfam family: tRNA
About the family: Transfer RNA (tRNA) molecules are approximately 80 nucleotides in length. Their secondary structure includes four short double-helical elements and three loops (D, anti-codon, and T loops).
Source: RNAcentral
GGGCGCGUAGGUCAUGGGGAGAGCGUCGCCCUUACAAGGCGAAUGUCGGCGGUACCGAACCGUCGCGUCCACCA